GUUUGGUCAUCACAGAGCUCAAGUCAUAGGACCAUAGCAUGCCAUGUUGUGGUUGAUGCAGAUCUGAGAUGACACCGAGGCAACGAGAUAGCGGGCGGCAGGCCGCUGAUGAAUAAUGACGACGACAAUUUUCACAAUUAUCUGGAGUUGGAGGCUAAGCCGGUGGACAAAGGUAGUGGAAGACCUGGUCAAUGUCGGGGAUGUCGGCGGUCCUGUCUCCCUCAUCUAUUGCAUCAGACCGUCUUCUCCUCAUUGUCAUGAUGCUUCAGAACUGUUGUUGGCCUCAUGCUGUUUGUGAAUCCUCUGACACCAAUUAUUGGAAGAGAUGGAGACAAUUCUGUAUAGUUUGACCAUGAUCUGAAGAGACCAAGAAUGAUGGCGUGGCAAUCCCAGAACUAAAAGUUUCUCCAUCAGCCCUGUUCUUUGCUUCAAUUGUGAUUCUGGAACUGAAGCUUCAUCACCAUCAUUCUGUCGCUGGUCACAUGACUGAAUGAUUCGAUGGGGCAGGGAAUUUUCAUUUGCAUUGAGCGGACACAGAAUGUGAACGACAUAAUUUUCGCUGGCUCAAAGAUACAG
Long non-coding RNA from Triticum aestivum (bread wheat), 576 nucleotides. RefSeq lists it as uncharacterized. The record is from RefSeq and is a predicted model, not a curated record. The transcript has 4 exons. NCBI's taxonomy places the organism in Eukaryota, Viridiplantae, Streptophyta, Magnoliopsida, Poales, Poaceae.